Molecule: non-coding RNA, 626 nt
Organism: Oryzias latipes (Japanese medaka)
Lineage: Eukaryota; Metazoa; Chordata; Actinopteri; Beloniformes; Adrianichthyidae
Source: the annotation of a RefSeq genome assembly
AUGACUGUGAUCUGCGUCCUCAUCUGGACUCUCCUCUGCUGCUGCUUCACAGAGUCCAGAGGACAGGUCACAGUGACUCAGCCUGGACCAGUGAGCUCUGCUGUGGGAGGAUCUGUCUCCAUCUCAUGUAGAACCAGUCAGAAUGUUUACAGCAACUGGUUAGCCUGGUACCAACAGAAAGAUGGAGAAUCUCCUAAACUACUAAUUUACUAUAUUAGCACUCAAGUAUCAGGAACUCCAACUCGUUUUACAGGCAGUGGAUCAAACUCUGAUUUCACUCUGACCAUCAGUGGAAUUCAGGCUGAAGAUGCAGCAGUUUAUUACUGUCAGAGUGCUCACUACAUCAACAGUCAGUAUGUGUUCACACAGUGAAAAACAGUCAUACAAAAACCUCCCUCAUUCAGGCUGAACAGAAACUGAACUGACUGCUGCAGCUGGAAGAUACUGCAGACACUGAAACAGUUCACUGAACAUCCAUUCUAACAAACACACAAACUCAAUAGGCACCUUGUUGGAACCAGAUUUAGUAUAAUUUGUAAAUAUUAAUUACGUCCAGUUUACAAUAAUAAGAGAAAAUUAUAUUAUAAAAUAAAUCCUUUUUAUAUUUAUUUUUAUCAGUUACACUG